GAUGAACGCUGGCGGCGUGCCUAAUACAUGCAAGUCGAGCGAACAGACGAGGAGCGUGCCCCGCUGACGUGAGCGGCGGACGGGUGAGUAACACGUGGAUAACCGACCUAUAAGACUGGCAUAAGUACGGGAAAGCGGAGCCAACACCGGACAAUAUAUUGAACGGGAGGGUUCAUUAGUGAAAGAGGGUUCAGCUGACACUAAGAGAUGUUACCGAGCUGGAUUAGCUAGUUGGUAUGGUAACGGCUUACCAAGGCAACGAUGCGUAGCCGACCUGAGAGGAUGAUCGGCCACACUGGAACUGAGACACGGUCCAGACUCCUACGGGAGGCAGCAGUAGGGAAUCUUCCACAAUGGGCGAAAGCCUGACGCAGCCACGCCGCGUGAGUUAAGAAGGUCUUCGGAUCGUAAAGCUCUGUUAUUAGGGAAGAACAACUGUGUAAUUAUCUAUGCACGUCUUGACGGUACCUAAUCAGAAAGCCCCGGCUAACUACGUG
Molecule: ribosomal RNA, 497 nt
Filed under: uncultured bacterium
Lineage: Bacteria
Description: partial 16S ribosomal RNA
Rfam family: Bacterial small subunit ribosomal RNA
Source: RNAcentral